GGGCGUCGUGCUGGACGGCGAGGCGGUGAUCGUUGAGGGCGGUCGGAUCUCGUACAGGGCGGUCCAGUCCCGCGCGGCGUCCAC
Molecule: transfer RNA, 84 nt
Filed under: Streptomyces chromofuscus
Lineage: Bacteria; Bacillati; Actinomycetota; Actinomycetes; Kitasatosporales; Streptomycetaceae
Description: tRNA-Leu
Source: RNAcentral